Molecule: ribosomal RNA, 669 nt
Filed under: uncultured organism
Description: bacterial SSU rRNA
Rfam family: Bacterial small subunit ribosomal RNA
Source: RNAcentral
GGCUUAGAGUUUGAUCAUGGCUCAGGAUGAACGCUAGCUACAGGCUUAACACAUGCAAGUCGAGGGGCAUCAGGAAGAAAGCUUGCUUUCUUUGCUGGCGACCGGCGCACGGGUGAGUAACACGUAUCCAACCUGCCCUUUACUCGGGGAUAGCCUUUCGAAAGAAAGAUUAAUACCCGAUAGCAUAAUGAUUCCGCAUGGUUUCAUUAUUAAAGGAUUCCGGUAAAGGAUGGGGAUGCGUUCCAUUAGGUUGUUGGUGAGGUAACGGCCCACCAAGCCUUCGAUGGAUAGGGGUUCUGAGAGGAAGGUCCCCCACAUUGGAACUGAGACACGGUCCAAACUCCUACGGGAGGCAGCAGUGAGGAAUAUUGGUCAAUGGGCGUUAGCCUGAACCAGCCAAGUAGCGUGAAGGAUGAAGGCUCUAUGGGUCGUAAACUUCUUUUAUAUAAGAAUAAAGUGCAGUAUGUAUACUGUUUUGUAUGUAUUAUAUGAAUAAGGAUCGGCUAACUCCGUGCCAGCAGCCGCGGUAAUACGGAGGAUCCGAGCGUUAUCCGGAUUAUUGGGUUUAAAGGGAGCGUAGGUGGACUGGUAAGUCAGUUGUGAAAGUUUGCGGCUCAACCGUAAAAUUGCAGUUGAUACUGUCAGUCUUGAGUACAGUAGAGGUGGGCG